Molecule: unclassified non-coding RNA, 257 nt
Filed under: Hevea brasiliensis (rubber tree)
Lineage: Eukaryota; Viridiplantae; Streptophyta; Magnoliopsida; Malpighiales; Euphorbiaceae
Source: RNAcentral
AAAGAAAGAAAGAAGAAAAAAAGACAGAUCAAGAACAAAAAUAGAUAGCAAAAGUGUAGGCGUACUCUAGCAUGGCAAUAGACAACGACAAACUACCAUCUUUGUUGCAUGCAACCCUCUUUCCCUAUGAAUGAAUACGACCUGGAGAUCUACUAGAUACAUGCACUUUAAUUUUAAGGAAAAACUAAAGAAAACCAUUUAUUUUGGAAAUUUUAAUUUUAAAAAGUUUACCACUUCUACUCUAGAGAUCCAAGGUA